This 498-nucleotide ribosomal RNA is filed under the name uncultured bacterium. Its description in RNAcentral is "partial 16S ribosomal RNA". It matches the Rfam family "Bacterial small subunit ribosomal RNA", at positions 30 to 523 of the family's 1533-position model. The record is from RNAcentral.
AUUGAACGCUGGCGGCAUGCCUUACACAUGCAAGUCGAACGGUAACAGGUCUUCGGAUGCUGACGAGUGGCGAACGGGUGAGUAAUACAUCGGAACGUGCCCGAGAGUGGGGGAUAACGAAGCGAAAGCUUUGCUAAUACAGCAUACGAUCUCAGGAUGAAAGCAGGGGACCGCAAGGCCUUGCGCUCACGGACAGGCCGAUGGCGGAUUAGGUGGUUGGUGGGAUAAAAGCUUACCAAGCCGACGAUCUGUAGCUGGUCUGAGAGGACGACCAGCCACACUGGGACUGAGACACGGCCCAGACUCCUACGGGAGGCAGCAGUGGGGAAUUUUGGACAAUGGGCGCAAGCCUGAUCCAGCCAUGCCGCGUGCAGGAUGAAGGCCUUCGGGUUGUAAACUGCUUUUGUACGGAACGAAAAGACUCUGGUUAAUACCUGGGGUUCAUGACGGUACCGUAAGAAUAAGCACCGGCUAACUACGUGCCAGCCGCCGCAGUAA